Long non-coding RNA from Pan troglodytes (chimpanzee), 442 nucleotides. RefSeq lists it as uncharacterized. The record is from RefSeq and is a predicted model, not a curated record. Lineage: Eukaryota; Metazoa; Chordata; Mammalia; Primates; Hominidae. The transcript is spliced from 2 exons.
CCUACAUACCUGUGCAACAUGGCAUGCUUCCCUAUGUAUCUGGGUUAUUCCCAUUACUAGUGAAAUUUUAUGAACUAUCAUAAAAUACACAAGAUAUGCACACCUUAUCAACUACCUUAUGUAGGAAUGAUCUGAAGUGCCAUCUGCAUUCACAAAAUUCAAGGCAUUCUGAAAAUCAUUUUCAUCAGGUGGAAGAAGGAAGUACUUCAACAGUUACUCUUGAAUGUCACUAAAAUGUCUUUAAAGUUUAUUUCAACACUCCUCAGCCUCAAAAAAAAAAGACUUUUAAAACAGCUUGGAAAAAAUAUAUAGUUUGGAAAAAGCUGUAUGAUACUGAAAUGAAGAACAGUAGCUAUGAAAUAUUUACAAACUUGACGCAUGCUUUUUUUCAAAUCGCCUCAAGGCAGACGUGGUGCUUCAAACAAAUAGAGUCUGGAGGUAA